This 1472-nucleotide long non-coding RNA is filed under the name Capsicum annuum. RNAcentral's name for it is "long non-coding RNA (CANN_LNC004923)". Lineage: Eukaryota; Viridiplantae; Streptophyta; Magnoliopsida; Solanales; Solanaceae. The record is from RNAcentral.
AAAAAAUUCAAAACCUCGAGAUCAAGUAACAUGGAUUAUUUAUGCUAAAAGCUCAUAGCAAAAACUCAGUCUUGCAUCAUGAUUUUGUUAAAUGCUAGAAUUUUUACCAAACGGAUAAGGUCAUGCAUAAGCAUACAAUGUCUAGGGAUGACAUGAAACCAUUCAAGUAAACUAAUGGUAGAAUGCUACUUCUGUCGACAAAUACCUAGAGAACAGGAUAAACUGAAUAUCCUGUACUACACCAAGUUAAAAGUCCAAAUUACAUCUAAAAUAUUUUUGAUUACCAGGAAAUCCUUGAGGGCCAGUUGGCACAAUUUCAGUGGAUAAUCGGUCCAUUGAAAAAGAAAAGAAGAAUAAAAAAAGUUGCAAAAAGAAAAAUGAAGAAAAAUAUUAAAAAGAAAAAAUAAAAUUAAUGAAAAUAAAAAUGAAAAAGAAAGAAAAUAUAGAAGUUGAGAGGAGAAACGAAAAAAAAAAAUAAAAGUUGAGAAAAAUGAAAAAAAGAUAAAUUAAAAAUAAAGGCCGAGAAAAAUUAAAAAGGAAUAAAGAUUAAAAAAAUAAAAAAAAAGUAGACGUUGAGAGGAGUAAAGAAAAAAUGUAAAGAUUGAGAAAAACUAAAAAGAAAAAAUCAAAGUAAAAAAAAUAAAAAAUUGAGAGGAGAAAAAGGAUUAAGAAAAUUUUUUUUAAAAAAAGGGAAGACUGGUUUUAUAUAGUUUAAUCCAUUGGUCAGAGACAAUUUUGUCCAAAAUAUACCAUUUAAUAGUUAAAGGCUAUUUUUACAAAGCUCUCUUAUUUAGGAUCAAAAAUUGAAAGUCACCUUAUUUUGAGGCUAUUCCUCUAUUUUUCCAAUAUUUUUAUCCAUCUUUUUCUCAUUACAUAUUUCCUUACCCGUUGUAAAUGUACCCCUUCUGAGGCUUUUGAAAUAAGGAAAAUAUAUAUAAUUUGAAAGAACAAUUAAUAAAAUUCGGAUUUUGUUGCCAAAAAUUCACUUGUAAAAUUGCAUUAUUAUUUUGUACUAGGUGGACCUAAACAACCGAAAGGCAUGGUAGAAUGACUGGUAUCUCUCAAUCCUUAAACCAUAGUUAAAAUUUUGAGUCUUAAAUGAUGAUCAUCUGAGUUGGGAGCGCUUUACCCCUUUGGUGGGUCUACUAGGUGUGAGUUUGAAUCAGUUGAUCCAACUUCAGAUAUUGGAUGGUUAAACCGAUAUAAGAAAAAAUUCAAAACCUCGAGAUCAAGCAACAUGGAUUAUUUAUGCCAAAAGCUCAUAGCAAAAACUCAGUCUUGCAUCAUGAUUUUGUUAAAUGCUAGAAUUUUUACCAAACGGAUAAGGUCAUGCAUAAGCAUACAAUGUCAAGGGAUGACAUGAAACCAUUCAAGUAAGCUAAUGGUAAAAUGCGACUUCUGUAGACAAAUGCCUAGAGAACUGGAUAAACUGAAUAUCACGUACUACACCAAGUUAAAAGUCCAAAUUACAU